UGGGGCCCGCACAAGCGGUGGAGCAUGUGGUUUAAUUCGACGCAACGCGCAGAACCUUACCAGCCCUUGACAUGUCCAGGACCGGUCGCAGAGAUGUGACCCUCUCUUCGGAGCCUGGAGCACAGGUGCUGCAUGGCUGUCGUCAGCUCGUGUCGUGAGAUGUUGGGUUAAGUCCCGCAACGAGCGCAACCCCCGUCCUUAGUUGCUACCAUUUAGUUGAGCACUCUAAGGAGACUGCCGGUGAUAAGCCGCGAGGAAGGUGGGGAUGACGUCAAGUCCUCAUGGCCCUUACGGGCUGGGCUACACACGUGCUACAAUGGCGGUGACAAUGGGAAGCAAAGGGGCAACCCCUAGCAAAUCUCAAAAAA
This 368-nucleotide ribosomal RNA is filed under the name uncultured bacterium. Its description in RNAcentral is "bacterial SSU rRNA". It matches the Rfam family "Bacterial small subunit ribosomal RNA", at positions 916 to 1281 of the family's 1533-position model. The record is from RNAcentral.